RNAcentral lists this ribosomal RNA (319 nucleotides) under Stenotrophomonas maltophilia. RNAcentral describes it as "bacterial LSU rRNA". It matches the Rfam family "Bacterial large subunit ribosomal RNA", at positions 2619 to 2925 of the family's 2925-position model. The record is from RNAcentral. Lineage: Bacteria; Pseudomonadati; Pseudomonadota; Gammaproteobacteria; Lysobacterales; Lysobacteraceae.
UCGUGAGACAGUUCGGUCCCUAUCUGCCAUGGGCGUUGGAGAUUUGAGAGGGGCUGCUCCUAGUACGAGAGGACCGGAGUGGACGAACCUCUGGUGUUCCGGUUGUCACGCCAGUGGCAUUGCCGGGUAGCUAUGUUCGGAAGCGAUAACCGCUGAAAGCAUCUAAGCGGGAAGCGCGCCUCAAGAUGAGAUCUCCCGGGGCACAAGCCCCCUGAAGGAACCAUGUAGACUACGUGGUUGAUAGGUCAGGUGUGUAAGUACAGCAAUGUAUUGAGCUAACUGAUACUAAUGAUCCGUGCGGCUUGACCAUAUAACCUCA